UGGUUUUUGACCGGUUGAAGUGAUUUGCUCUUGUUUCUUGCGGUUUGCAGCAACUUGUUUCUCGUUGUUUUGAACCCAAGAGAACCACUUAACCAACCAGAUGCUUGGUGUAUUCAACGAACUUGAUUCGUUUGCAAAGUACCAGUCACCGAAAUUUUGAAUCA
This 164-nucleotide ribosomal RNA is filed under the name Acinetobacter baumannii 44839_10. RNAcentral describes it as "partial 23S ribosomal RNA". Lineage: Bacteria; Pseudomonadati; Pseudomonadota; Gammaproteobacteria; Moraxellales; Moraxellaceae. The record is from RNAcentral.